UUAUGGAGAGUUUGAUCCUGGCUCAGGAUGAACGCUGGCGGCGUGCCUAAUACAUGCAAGUCGAGCGAACGGACGAGAAGCUUGCUUCUCUGAUGUUAGCGGCGGACGGGUGAGUAACACGUGGAUAACCUACCUAUAAGACUGGGAUAACUUCGGGAAACCGGAGCUAAUACCGGAUAAUAUUUUGAACCGCAUGGUUCAAAAGUGAAAGACGGUCUUGCUGUCACUUAUAGAUGGAUCCGCGCUGCAUUAGCUAGUUGGUAAGGUAACGGCUUACCAAGGCAACGAUGCAUAGCCGACCUGAGAGGGUGAUCGGCCACACUGGAACUGAGACACGGUCCAGACUCCUACGGGAGGCAGCAGUAGGGAAUCUUCCGCAAUGGGCGAAAGCCUGACGGAGCAACGCCGCGUGAGUGAUGAAGGUCUUCGGAUCGUAAAACUCUGUUAUUAGGGAAGAACAUAUGUGUAAGUAACUGUGCACAUCUUGACGGUACCUAAUCAGAAAGCCACGGCUAACUACGUGCCAGCAGCCGCGGUAAUACGUAGGUGGCAAGCGUUAUCCGGAAUUAUUGGGCGUAAAGCGCGCGUAGGCGGUUUUUUAAGUCUGAUGUGAAAGCCCACGGCUCAACCGUGGAGGGUCAUUGGAAACUGGAAAACUUGAGUGCAGAAGAGGAAAGUGGAAUUCCAUGUGUAGCGGUGAAAUGCGCAGAGAUAUGGAGGAACACCAGUGGCGAAGGCGACUUUCUGGUCUGUAACUGACGCUGAUGUGCGAAAGCGUGGGGAUCAAACAGGAUUAGAUACCCUGGUAGUCCACGCCGUAAACGAUGAGUGCUAAGUGUUAGGGGGUUUCCGCCCCUUAGUGCUGCAGCUAACGCAUUAAGCACUCCGCCUGGGGAGUACGACCGCAAGGUUGAAACUCAAAGGAAUUGACGGGGACCCGCACAAGCGGUGGAGCAUGUGGUUUAAUUCGAAGCAACGCGAAGAACCUUACCAAAUCUUGACAUCCUUUGACAACUCUAGAGAUAGAGCCUUCCCCUUCGGGGGACAAAGUGACAGGUGGUGCAUGGUUGUCGUCAGCUCGUGUCGUGAGAUGUUGGGUUAAGUCCCGCAACGAGCGCAACCCUUAAGCUUAGUUGCCAUCAUUAAGUUGGGCACUCUAAGUUGACUGCCGGUGACAAACCGGAGGAAGGUGGGGAUGACGUCAAAUCAUCAUGCCCCUUAUGAUUUGGGCUACACACGUGCUACAAUGGACAAUACAAAGGGCAGCGAAACCGCGAGGUCAAGCAAAUCCCAUAAAGUUGUUCUCAGUUCGGAUUGUAGUCUGCAACUCGACUACAUGAAGCUGGAAUCGCUAGUAAUCGUAGAUCAGCAUGCUACGGUGAAUACGUUCCCGGGUCUUGUACACACCGCCCGUCACACCACGAGAGUUUGUAACACCCGAAGCCGGUGGAGUAACCUUUUAGGAGCUAGCCGUCGAAGGUGGGACAAAUGAUUGGGGUGAAGUCGUAACAAGGUAGCCGUAUCGGAAGGUGCGGCUGGAUCACCUCCUUUCU
RNAcentral lists this ribosomal RNA (1553 nucleotides) under Staphylococcus aureus. RNAcentral describes it as "partial 16S ribosomal RNA". It matches the Rfam family "Bacterial small subunit ribosomal RNA". The record is from RNAcentral. Lineage: Bacteria; Bacillati; Bacillota; Bacilli; Caryophanales; Staphylococcaceae.